CUUCACCGAGCCGAGCAGCAGCGGGCGGCCGGCGGGCCGCCCCUGGCCGUAGGUGGCGAGCAGGGCCUGGGCCUC
This 75-nucleotide antisense RNA is filed under the name Streptomyces sparsogenes DSM 40356. Its description in RNAcentral is "ASpks TB sRNA". It matches the Rfam family "ASpks TB sRNA". Lineage: Bacteria; Bacillati; Actinomycetota; Actinomycetes; Kitasatosporales; Streptomycetaceae. The record is from Rfam by way of RNAcentral.